UAUUGCUGAAUGUGGAAAACGAUGGGAGUUAGGAAAAAUAAGCACCAUGAGGAGGGAAGGAGGCAGAACAGAGCUGUGCAAAAGUGAAAUGACUUAAGUUGUCCAAGGUCAAUUAAAGAAGAGGACUGCCUUUAGUCAUUAGUAGCCAGAACUCACAGCAGCUGAGGAAUGGAGGCAUCUAAGUUCAUGUGGAAUCUGGCUGACCUGAGCAUUUGGCAUGUCCUGGAGGUGGAAAGUGUUUCACAAAGUCAG
This 252-nucleotide long non-coding RNA is filed under the name Mustela putorius furo (domestic ferret). RNAcentral describes it as "lncRNA (ENSMPUG00000026591.1)". Lineage: Eukaryota; Metazoa; Chordata; Mammalia; Carnivora; Mustelidae. The record is from RNAcentral.